Molecule: long non-coding RNA, 1173 nt
Filed under: Anas platyrhynchos platyrhynchos (common mallard)
Lineage: Eukaryota; Metazoa; Chordata; Aves; Anseriformes; Anatidae
Description: lncRNA (ENSAPLG00000028987.1)
Source: RNAcentral
GUCUACACCUUGUUGGCAUGAGCAAGGAUCUCAUGGGUAAAAAGAUAUUUUAGCUAUGGAAAAAGUCUAUCAAAGAUGGACUGACUGGUAAAACAAACCUCUGUAAUUAGCAGGACCUUAGAGCUAAUGAUAGAGAGACCAAGCCCUAAAUUAGAGGCUAUACAAUCCAAAGGUCACUUGAUCAGCUGUUUGACAGGAUUACGUCUCUUCGUGCACCUCUUGAUUGCAGCUAUAGUUCAGUCUCUUAAAAUUUUAGUCAUCUGCUUCCUGACUCAGGGCAGCUGCUGCUACGGCUAAUGCUGAAGCAGAUAUGGCUGAACGAGGUCUAUCUGCGGUAGGCCAGAACUAGCAAGUCAGGUUUUCCUGUGUAAACCCUUACAGAGUCCGUGCAAAUCAGCACAGUGAGCAGCAGAGCCUAGCCGGAAGGUGCCAAACAAGACCGAUGUGUUCGUGAUAUGUCAUAACAGAAAGUGGGAAGUUCAGGUAGGCAUGUAAGGACAAUCAGCGCCUCUACUCAGAAAGUGUGUGGCUCGGCUGGGGAGAGCACCCUUGCUGUGAUAUCAUAGCAGUCUGCAUCAACAGCUAAUAAGUAAGCUCAUUUUCUGUCUGUCCUUAUCAUCCUUGGCAGAGAUCCCAGCUGUGGUGGGCUGGUGCCCUUCAGCUGCUGGUGGAGGAGGGCUUGCUGUUGGGGUUAGACCAUCACCCACGUAGCCUGGUUUAAAAUUAGCGAGGACGCUUCUGCAUGGGUGGCAGUUGCACCUGUGUGUUGCAGUGCAGAUGUGCUUGCAAUCAGGAGAGGGCUGGAGGGAGACGUGUUUUUCUCCUGUUGCGCAGGAGGAUAAGAUGAAUGGUCGCUUGAACACAGCUACAGCUUUCUGUGUGGAACUGCCCAACUCAAAGGAUUACUGUGCUGCUUUGAUCUUGAUGGGUGUCCUGAUGGAGCCACCAGCCACAUCAGGCACACAGGCUGCCCGUCUCCUCCUCAGCCCACCUGACCAGCAAAUAGCCUUUGUAAGGUCAGUCUUUCUUGGUCUGUAGGCAACCCACCAGUUGCCUUAACCAAAGGUAAGGAAGAAAUGUCCUCCUGUGAAAAUUGAGCGUUUGUUCCAAACUGAGGAGGGAUGGACAAACAUAGUUACAAAUAUCUAAAUCUUCUUCACUAUGGAGUUUCCU